AACUUAUAAAAUGGCGGCGUCCACAUGUAUACGUCCUUCCCGGGAUUAGCCAGGCAGCUAGAGGAUGACUUAAUAAGGAGAGUGGAGAAACUGGCCAAUUAAUGAACAUGCCCUGAAGGAAGACCACUGAAGCCACCGCAGACAGCAGAACCUCAAUCAGCUUGAAAGAGAAUGGGCUCAACAAAAGAGCAAACUGUCAACAGUGAUGAUGAGGUGCAACAUUCAACUUCACAGUUCUUGGAAUCCAGACAGACCUGGAGGAGUGGACUUCCUGGGAUGAAGAUGAGCCCACUAGUGCAUCGAAGGAGGGAAUGGGAUUGUGGCAACACAGCAGAACUCUUUGGAGCAACUGGAACCUGACUACUUCGAGGCCAUAACUCCAACUAUACAGAAAACUCAGAAAAUUGUCAUUAAGAAGAGAGAACCAUUGAAUUUUGGUGUCCCAGAUGGUAGCACAGGUUUUUCCAGUAGAUUGGCAGCUGCACAAGAUAGGCCUUUUAUUCAUCAGUCUUCAAAAUUAGGUGACUUAGAUACGUGGCAAGAAAAUACCAGUGCAUGGGAAGAGGAAGAAGACGCAGCCUGGCAAGCAGAAGAAGUCCUGAAGCAGCAGAAAAUUUCAGACGGAGAGAAGAGACAGCAGAACAACAAAGGAAGAAAACGGAGAAGGAAGCGCAACGCCCUAUAAAGAAGGAGCAAAGCAAAGUCUGUGUGAAGCUUUCCUAACAGGCUUUGUGAGUCUGGGCGCACAGCCUACACGCAAGCAUUUGCAUGCACUGGACAGUAUUCUCAGAAUACAAACACUCUGCUAGAUCUCAGUUUGUUAUUGAGCUAUCCAGGACACCAGGAUUCUCCCAUAAUACCUUGAACUAUUAGGAAUCAAGACUCAAAACACAAAAAUAAUGAGACAAUUAUUUUCUUCAAUGUGUUCCAAAUAGAAGACAAUUGUUUGCUGUAGAGAAGUUAUUUCAAGAGGAAUAUACCUGACAAGUACCUCUCAAGCUAGUGUUUCUAGAUGAACAAAGGGCUGUAAAUAAUUUUAUGGUGGAAAAGUACCCUGCUACUUACUAUGCUUUUGUUCAUUGUACAUAAUUAUAAAAUAAUUUUAAUGAUCAUUUGUUUCCAUGACCGCUUGAUGUAAAUUAGACAAACUGUAGGUAGGGCUUUAUACCCUUCUUAAUUUUGUUUUCAGGUACUGUUGACAUACAUUUUCUAUCAUUUGAACUGGCAUUGUUUGGUACAACAUUAAGGGAUAUGAUGAUUUGGGUUUUUAAGAAAAUAACAUUAAAUGCAAUAAUUUUAUUUAUCAAAAAAAAA
RNAcentral lists this small RNA (1314 nucleotides) under Mus musculus domesticus (western European house mouse). RNAcentral's name for it is "partial expressed neighbor of Xist non-coding RNA". Lineage: Eukaryota; Metazoa; Chordata; Mammalia; Rodentia; Muridae. The record is from RNAcentral.